Vigna unguiculata (cowpea) is the source of this 72-nucleotide non-coding RNA. The record is from the annotation of a RefSeq genome assembly. Lineage: Eukaryota; Viridiplantae; Streptophyta; Magnoliopsida; Fabales; Fabaceae.
GGUCCCAUGGUCUAGUGGUUAGGACAUUGGACUCUGAAUCCAGCAACCCGAGUUCAAAUCUCGGUGGGACCU